GUAUGCGAUCAUACCAGCACUAAAGCACCGGAUCCCAUCGGAACUCCGAAGUUAAGCGUGCUUGGGCGAGUUUGGGCGAGUGUAGUAGUAGGAUGGGUGACCUCCUGGGAAGUCCUCCAUCAGAAC
RNAcentral lists this ribosomal RNA (126 nucleotides) under Oryza punctata. Lineage: Eukaryota; Viridiplantae; Streptophyta; Magnoliopsida; Poales; Poaceae. The record is from RNAcentral.